RNAcentral lists this ribosomal RNA (497 nucleotides) under uncultured bacterium. RNAcentral describes it as "partial 16S ribosomal RNA". It matches the Rfam family "Bacterial small subunit ribosomal RNA", at positions 29 to 507 of the family's 1533-position model. The record is from RNAcentral.
AAUGAACGCUGGCGGCGUGCCUAAUACAUGCAGGUCGAGCGAACAGACGAGGAGCUUGCUCCUCUGACGUUAGCGGCGGACGGGUGAGUAACACGUGGAUAACCUACCUAUAAGACUGGGAUAACUUCGGGGAACCGGAGCUAAUACCGGAUAAUAUAUUGAACCGCAUGGUUCAAUAGUGAAAGACGGUUUUGCUGUCACUUAUAGAUGGAUCCGCGCCGCAUUAGCUAGUUGGUAAGGUAACGGCUUACCAAGGCAACGAUGCGUAGCCGACCUGAGAGGGUGAUCGGCCACACUGGAACUGAGACACGGUCCAGACUCCUACGGGAGGCAGCAGUAGGGAAUCUUCCGCAAUGGGCGAAAGCCUGACGGAGCAACGCCGCGUGAGUGAUGAAGGUCUUCGGAUCGUAAAACUCUGUUAUUAGGGAAGAACAAAUGUGUAAGUAACUAUGCACGUCUUGACGGUACCUAAUCAGAAAGCCACGGCUAACUACGUG